Molecule: ribosomal RNA, 118 nt
Organism: Mesocricetus auratus (golden hamster)
Lineage: Eukaryota; Metazoa; Chordata; Mammalia; Rodentia; Cricetidae
Source: Ensembl
ACUCAAAGCCAUACACACUGAACAUGCGCAAUCUCCUCUGAUCUUGGAAGCUAAGCCGGGUCAGGCCUAGUUAGUACUAGAAUGGGAGUCUGCUUGGGAAUACUGUGUGCUGUAGGCU